This is a non-coding RNA of Pangasianodon hypophthalmus (striped catfish), 73 nucleotides long. NCBI's taxonomy places the organism in Eukaryota, Metazoa, Chordata, Actinopteri, Siluriformes, Pangasiidae. The record is from the annotation of a RefSeq genome assembly.
GACCUCGUGGCCUAAUGGAUAAGGUGUCUGACUUCGGAUCAGAAGAUUGCAGGUUCGAGUCCUGCCGGGGUCG